This 253-nucleotide ribosomal RNA is filed under the name uncultured bacterium. RNAcentral's name for it is "partial 16S ribosomal RNA". It matches the Rfam family "Bacterial small subunit ribosomal RNA", at positions 524 to 776 of the family's 1533-position model. The record is from RNAcentral.
UACGGGGGGGGCAAGCGUUGUUCGGAAUUACUGGGCGUAAAGGGCGCGUAGGCGGUCCCGUCAGUCCCUUGUGAAAUCCCCCGGCUCAACUGGGGAACUGCAAGGGAUACAGCGGGGCUUGAGUUCGGGAGAGGGAAGCGGAAUUCCGGGUGUAGCGGUGAAAUGCGUAGAUAUCUGAAGGAACAUCAGUGGCGAAAGCGACUUCCUGGACCAAUACUGACGCUCAUGUGCGAAAGCGUGGGGAGCAAACAGG